AUGGCUGCGCUCUGCAACUUUUGGUUCUCUAUACCUUUGCAGAUUCUGAGUGUCUCCUGCUGGGCAGUUAUGGCCUAUGACUGGUACAAGGCCAUCAGCAGCCCUUUGCUCUAUGUGGUCAGCAUGUCCAGCAGGGUGUGCUCCCUGCUCCUGGCUGGGGUUUAUCUGUCACUUAACUGUGCUCCAGACCGUAUCUGCUUUACUUACCCCUGUAAAUCCCACACCCAGCACAAACAAGACUCAACAAAUUUGUGGCUGAAGAGGCAGGAACAUACCCUGUCCUCAAGGAGAUGAAGCCGAGCAAGAUGGGAGCCUGAUGAUAACCCUGUGUGAUGAGGAGGCCCCAGGAGGACCUGUGUGGCUGUGGGGUGGGGUGGGGGGCAUUGGCAGAACCCCUGAUGAGCUCCUGGGGAUGGAGAAAGUGGCAGGAAGGAGGGGGUCUGUUCCUUGUGGGGUGUCCACAGAUUGUACCUCACCCUUUACUGAUGAGCACUUAGGCCAUUUUCAAACACGUGUCACUGUUCUGGAGGAAACAAUCAUUGCCCAGCUCCUACUCAAUCAAUUUCGUAGAUAUGUCUCUAGCAUUGGAGUAUAAACGUCUGCUUUAUUCAUUCCAUGCUCUGUUCAUCCACCCAUCCAGCCAGCCAUCUGUUCAUCCAUCCAUCCACUCACUAAUCAAUCCAUCCAUCCACUCUUAAUUCAUCCGAUCAUCUCAGACCCAUUGAGAAGACAGACGCCUCCUCCGCUCCUGCUCCCAGGAGGACACCCAGUGUGAGUGACAGGAGCCUCGUGGGGAUAAGGGGGGGAGACACAGAAGGGACAUGCCUGCAGGCCUUCCUCCCUCUGAACGGUGAAGCACCCACCUGGUCCUAACGCCUCCUUGCCGGGGUGUUCAGGCUGGCCCUUUUCCUUCUUGCAAAACAAGCGGCUGAUGGAGGACUUGAUGGCCUUCUUCUUCGGGGCUUUGUGCAGCAAGUCCUGGUGAGAGAGUCAUUUCCUAGGCAGGUUGAUAGGGAGUCUAGGGGUCCCCAAGGAGAGAGGGGUCUGGAAUUCUCAAGGAGGAAGAAAGGACAAACUUUUUUUCUUUCUCCACAUUCCUUAGGAUUAUAUGUAUCCUGCCUAAGGACAGUCUUUGGAUUCAACCUUCUGUUAUCUUAAAAUGUUAAUUAUGGGAGUAGACCUGGUCUUUACAAGGAUGUAUCUUGCCUGAGGACAGUGUUAUCUUAAAAUGCAUCUUAUGGGUGAGGGGCCUGGUGCCAUUCUGAAUUUUAAGACAUUCCUUUCUUUCAUUAACAGACUGCUAGUGACUAUAUAGCAUCCAGCUGAAGACUAGCAGGCGGGUACUCUUUCUACCCCCUUCUGAUGCCUAUGUCAGAAGCUUUCUCUAUCUCCUUUAUACUUUAAUAAAACUUUAU
RNAcentral lists this long non-coding RNA (1415 nucleotides) under Bos indicus x Bos taurus (hybrid cattle). RNAcentral describes it as "lncRNA (ENSBIXG00000007565.1)". Lineage: Eukaryota; Metazoa; Chordata; Mammalia; Artiodactyla; Bovidae. The record is from RNAcentral.